RNAcentral lists this ribosomal RNA (253 nucleotides) under uncultured bacterium. RNAcentral's name for it is "partial 16S ribosomal RNA". It matches the Rfam family "Bacterial small subunit ribosomal RNA", at positions 524 to 776 of the family's 1533-position model. The record is from RNAcentral.
UACGUAGGGUCCGAGCGUUGUCCGGAGUUACUGGGCGUAAAGCGCGCGCAGGCGGCGGUGCUGGCCCGGCGUGAAAGCCCCCGGCUCAACCGGGGAGGGUCGUCGGGGACCACACCGCUUGAGGGCGGUAGGGGCUGGUGGAAUGCCUGGUGUAGUGGUGAAAUGCGUAGAGAUCAGGCGGAACACCCGUGGCGAAGGCGGCCAGCUGGGCCGUCCCUGACGCUGAGGCGCGAAGGCGUGGGGAGCGAACGGG